GACGAACGCUGGCGGCGUGCUUAACACAUGCAAGUCGAACGGAAAGGCCCUGCUUUUGUGGGGUGCUCGAGUGGCGAACGGGUGAGUAACACGUGAGUAACCUGCCCUUGACUUUGGGAUAACUUCAGGAAACUGGGGCUAAUACCGGAUAGGAGCUCCUGCUGCUUGGUGGGGGUUGGAAAGUUUCGGCGGUUGGGGAUGGACUCGCGGCUUAUCAGCUUGUUGGUGGGGUAGUGGCUUACCAAGGCUUUGACGGGUAGCCGGCCUGAGAGGGUGACCGGCCACAUUGGGACUGAGAUACGGUCCAGACUCCUACGGGAGGCAGCAGUGGGGAAUAUUGCACAAUGGGCGGAAGCCUGAUGCAGCAACGCCGCGUGCGGGAUGACGGCCUUCGGGUUGUAAACCGCUUUCGCCUGUGACGAAGCGUGAGUGACGGUAAUGGGUAAAGAAGCACCGGCUAACUACGUG
Molecule: ribosomal RNA, 468 nt
Filed under: uncultured bacterium
Lineage: Bacteria
Description: partial 16S ribosomal RNA
Rfam family: Bacterial small subunit ribosomal RNA
Source: RNAcentral